UGUACACGCUGUGACUAGCAUAUCAAUAAGCGGAGGAAAAGAAACUAACAAGGAUUCCCUUAGUAACGGCGAGUGAAGCGGGAAGAGCUCAAAUUUGAAAUCUUGAAAGGUCACCUUUCACGAAUUGUAGUUUAAAGAAGUGUUUUCUGUUACGAUCGUAAUAUAAGCUCUUUGGAAUAGGACAUCACAGAGGGUGAGAAUCCCGUCUAUGAUUGCGAUUUGUAGCUUUGUGAUACACUUUCAAAGAGUCGGGUUGUUUGGGAAUGCAGCCCAAAACGGGAGGUAAAUUUCUUCUAAGGCUAAAUAUUGGCGAGAGACCGAUAGCGAACAAGUACCGUGAGGGAAAGAUGAAAAGAACUUUGAAAAGAGAGUUAAAUAGUACGUGAAAUUGUCAAAAGGGAAGCGUUUAACACCAGUGUUGUUUUCUGAAAAUCAACCUCUGUUAGCUUUAUGCAUGUUUGUUUAGACCUAAUCAGCUAUCUUGCAUGUUCUAUUGUUUGCAGUGGUGCACUUUUCAGUUUACAGGUCAACAUCAGUUUUUUUUACCGUAAAAAAGUUAAAGAAAGGUAGCUCAUGGCUCCGGUCGUGAGUGUUAUAGUCUUUUUCCUAUGCGGUAGGAGAGACUGAGGUCUGCAGUGUAGGCUAUUUGGCUAGAUACUCAGGUGCUAUGUGAUACCAUUUCAUAAACAACUUGUUGAUUAUGUUUUGUCUAUUGCAUACUCGCUUGUACUAUCAUACCUACGCUUAGGAUGUUGAACUACUGAGACAUAGA
RNAcentral lists this ribosomal RNA (772 nucleotides) under uncultured Neocallimastigales. RNAcentral describes it as "partial large subunit ribosomal RNA". It matches the Rfam family "Eukaryotic large subunit ribosomal RNA", at positions 22 to 644 of the family's 3401-position model. Lineage: Eukaryota; Fungi; Neocallimastigomycota; Neocallimastigomycetes; Neocallimastigales. The record is from RNAcentral.